RNAcentral lists this long non-coding RNA (1250 nucleotides) under Equus caballus (horse). RNAcentral's name for it is "lncRNA (ENSECAG00000052666.1)". The record is from RNAcentral. Lineage: Eukaryota; Metazoa; Chordata; Mammalia; Perissodactyla; Equidae.
UUUCAGUGGAAAAAGCAGUGCCCUUAAAGUCCACUGAAAUUCUCCACCUGGCCCCAUGCCAGAGUUUUAGGUUCUGACAGGUUAGGAGGAGCUAGCACUGCUACACACACACUUCUGAGGACAUGAAAAAAUCAUCUGCUCAAGAUCAUUUGUGCUCACUUUUCAAGUCUGCGGCUAUAAUGUUUGGAAAUUAUAGAGCCCAAGAAAUUACCUUUUCCUGUUUUCAUUUUCCAUCACAGGCAACAAAAUCACAUGCAUUGCUUUUUCCACAGUCUGCAGUAAGAAUUGGCAUCUUGGUCAACUGGCCCUGGCAUUUGAGAUUGCUGCUUUCCUCCUCCUGUGGGGACAAUUUUCCUCCCUCUGUAAUUCAGCUCACUGACGUGCACCCUGAAACAAGGGGCACUUAGUGGGCCCAGGGCAGGGGAAACCGAGAACCCAGCUUGUUAUCCAAACACAGGUUGGAAAUGAACCUCCCCAAGAGCAGAUCUGCCAGGAGCAGAACAGGGAACCUGAACCCCCGCGGGACGGCAUUUGGCACCAGUGAAAAGCAGGUUAGAUGCUCUGAAGAAGGCUUUACAAAAAGGCCAGGGCACAACAGAAGAUGAACAGCCACAGAGAGCAAUCCAGAGCUUGCCGUCCUCGGAAGGUUCCAGGGAAAAGAGGACUCACCUGGACUCCUCCCUUCCUGGCUCCAGGAAAAAACGAGCCAACAAAAUGAAAGCAGUUCUCCAUACAUACUCUUCUUAGGGGGAAGGCAAAUAUGCUGAAAUCAAAGAAAUAAUUGCGCACCUCUGAGUUCCGAGUCAGACUUUUGAGAGCGUUGGGCAGAGACAACAUCCUGAAAACAAAGCUUUUUUGCUGCAGCAGGCAGGGGUUUGAGAGAGAAAAUGUUGAACUCCUAAGGGACUAGCAUCCUGGUAGGCUUCAGCAGAGUUUAUACCAUGAACUAAAGAACAGGGGAAAUGUAGGAUGCCACAAAAACAUUUUUCUCUACUUGGAAAAAAAAAAAAAAGAUGAAUUCAGUGAUUGUGGGAAGAAGGAUCAGCGGGGCUAUAGCCAAUGUUUAUGCCCCUAAGACAUGCCCUGCACAAUGGUCCCCUCCAUGGAUCAAAAACCUUAGACAGAGGGGAGACAGAAACUUCAGAUAACCCAAGAAGGUCUCCAGAGGCAAACAGACCAUUGCCUGGCUUCCCAAGGACUAGCAAAGGAGAAUCCAAGUCUUACGAAGAAGCCUCAUGUCCAGUGUGGCC